Molecule: long non-coding RNA, 1472 nt
Filed under: Phasianus colchicus (ring-necked pheasant)
Lineage: Eukaryota; Metazoa; Chordata; Aves; Galliformes; Phasianidae
Description: lncRNA (ENSPCLG00000017661.1)
Source: RNAcentral
GACGAAUACGGAUCCUCGAACAGCGCCCACACCCGCGGCCUCCACCUCCUCCACCACCCCCCGGGCCGCCCCUCCUCCAGGCACAGCCGCUUCAGCUCCGCUCCGUUCCCAUCCCCGUUCCCUCCGUCCCCUCCUCCUCCGCCGGGCUCGGGGCUCUCGAAGCUGUCCAGGGCCUCCUCGGCGUCGCGGUGCUGCCGGUAGUUCAUCCAGCAGCACGCCUCCACGUCGGUCUCGUCGAUGCCCCAGAAGGCGAGCUCCUCCUCGAACAGCGGCCCGCACACGUCGGCGGGGCAGUGCAGCUUCCCGGUGCGGUAAUAAUUCAACACGUAAGCGAACACCGCCGGGUGACGGUCGAAAAAAAACUCCCCGGCCGCCGAAUCGUAAUCGAACCGGGCGGCGGCACCGGGUUCGGCCAAACCGGCCAGGCGCGUCCCGGGCAGCGUCUGCAGCGUGCUGCGGUACGUCUCGUGCCGCACGCCGCCCACGUUGAUCACCACCUUAUCGCGCUCCGCCUGCCACCCCAUGGCCGCGGCGGGACCCGACCCGGCCGGGCCUCCGCCGCCUGCCUCCGCCACCGCCGCCCCCUCCUCCUUUUAGGCCCACGGAGGCAGCGGAGCGGCGGCUGCCGCAUGCCGCGGCCCCGCCGCUCCCCUGCGCGCUCAGCGCCGCUUCUGCGCCUGCGCGCCGCGGGCUCCGCCUCUUCCUGCGCGAAGACGCGCCUCUUCCGGUUCGAAGCUCCGCCUCUUCCGCUCCGCCCGACGCGACGCCUACGCGGGCCCCGCCCACCCGCGUGCCGAGGCCACGCCCACUGAGAGGGGAGGAGCGGCGGGGGGUGAGGAGGAAUGGAGGCACUGGGAGCACUGGGAGCACUGGGAGCCACGCAGCCUUUAUUGGUGACCCCAGGUGACACGAGGUGACACAUGGUGACACGUCCCUGAGUUGACCCUGGGUGACCCCGGGUGACCUCCGAUGACCCCAGGUGUCAUGAGGUGACACGCGGUGACACUGUGACUCUGUCCCUGAGUUGACCCUGGGUGACCCCGGUGACCCAAGGUGACCUCAGAUGACUCCAAGUGACCCUAGGUGCCCCCGGGUGACCCAAGGUGACCUCCGAUGACCUCGGGUGACCCCAGGUGACAUGAGGUUACCUCAGGUGACACGAAAGGGCAUGAGGUGACAUAAAGUGACACUGUGACUCUGCCCCUGAGUUGACCCUGGGUGACCCAAGGUGACAUCAGAUGACCCCAAGUGACCCCAGGUGCCCCCAGGUGCCCCCGGGUGACCCCAGGUGACCUCUAAUGACCCCGGGUGACCCCGGGUGACAGCAGUGUCACUUGCUGACCGCCAGCCCGACACGGUCGUGGUCGCGAUCGAAGACGACGUAGUGACGAGCCAGGAAAACGUCCCCAAGGAUCCAGAGGGGUCCCCCGGGGGGGGGCACAUCCAGCUCCAUGAACCCACUGACACACGUU